RNAcentral lists this ribosomal RNA (330 nucleotides) under uncultured bacterium. RNAcentral describes it as "bacterial SSU rRNA". It matches the Rfam family "Bacterial small subunit ribosomal RNA", at positions 28 to 351 of the family's 1533-position model. The record is from RNAcentral.
GACGAAUGCUGGCGGCGUGCUUAACACAUGCAAGUCGAGCGGUAAGGCCCUUUCGGGGGUACGACGAGCGGCGAACGGGUAGAGUAACACGUGGGUGGACCUGCCCUCCAGCUCUGGGAGUAAGCCUGGGAAACGUGGGUCGUAAUACUGGAUAUGACUCCACGGUGCAUGUCGUGGGGUGGAAAGCCUUGUGCGGCUGAGGAUGGGCCCGCGGCCUAUCAGCUUGUUGGUGGGGUGGAUGGCCUACCAAGGCGACGACGGGUAGCCGGCCUGAGAGGGCGACCGGCCACACUGGGACUGAGACACGGCCCAGACUCCUACGGGAGGCAG